RNAcentral lists this transfer RNA (67 nucleotides) under Cucujoidea sp. 22 KM-2017. RNAcentral's name for it is "tRNA-Met". Lineage: Eukaryota; Metazoa; Arthropoda; Insecta; Coleoptera. The record is from RNAcentral.
UAAAAGAUAAGCUAAUUAAGCUAAUGGACUCAUAUUCCAUUUAUAUAAGAAACCCUUAUUCUUUUUA